UCUUAGUGGCGGACGGGUGAGUAACGCGUGGGUAACCUGCCUCACACUGGGGGAUAACACUUAGAAAUAGGUGCUAAUACCGCNUAAAAAGAGAGAGCGCAUGCUUUCACGUUUUAAAAACUCCGGUGGUGUGAGAUGGACCCGCGUCUGAUUAGCUGGUUGGCGGGGUAGAGGCCCACCAAGGCGACGAUCAGUAGCCGGCCUGAGAGGGUGAACGGCCACAUUGGGACUGAGACACGGCCCAAACUCCUACGGAAGGCAGCAG
This 265-nucleotide ribosomal RNA is filed under the name uncultured bacterium. RNAcentral's name for it is "partial 16S ribosomal RNA". It matches the Rfam family "Bacterial small subunit ribosomal RNA", at positions 90 to 354 of the family's 1533-position model. The record is from RNAcentral.